Molecule: unclassified non-coding RNA, 339 nt
Filed under: soil metagenome
Description: partial contains 5.8S ribosomal RNA, internal transcribed spacer 2, and large subunit ribosomal RNA
Rfam family: 5.8S ribosomal RNA (bases 1-120)
Source: RNAcentral
GAUGAAGAACGUAGCGAAAUGCGAUACGUAGUGUGAAUUGCAGAAUUCAGUGAAUCAUCGAAUCUUUGAACGCACAUUGCACCUCUCGGUAUUCCGGGAGGUAUGCCUGUUCGAGCGUCAUUUGUACCCUCAAGCUCUGCUUGGUGUUGGGUGUUUGUUCCGCCUCUGUGUGUGAACUCGCCUCAAAACAAUUGGCAGCCGGCGUACUUGUUUCGGAGCGAAGCACAUUUUGCGAUCCAGAUCAACGUACAGCGGCAUCCAAGAAGCCUUAUUUAACGCUCUUGACCUCGGAUCAGGUAGGGAUACCCGCUGAACUUAAGCAUAUCAAUAAGCGGAGGA